RNAcentral lists this ribosomal RNA (889 nucleotides) under Escherichia coli. Its description in RNAcentral is "partial 23S ribosomal RNA". It matches the Rfam family "Bacterial large subunit ribosomal RNA", at positions 165 to 1091 of the family's 2925-position model. The record is from RNAcentral. Lineage: Bacteria; Pseudomonadati; Pseudomonadota; Gammaproteobacteria; Enterobacterales; Enterobacteriaceae.
CAUAGGUUAAUGAGGCGAACCGGGGGAACUGAAACAUCUAAGUACCCCGAGGAAAAGAAAUCAACCGAGAUUCCCCCAGUAGCGGCGAGCGAACGGGGAGCAGCCCAGAGCCUGAAUCAGUGUGUGUGUUAGUGGAAGCGUCUGGAAAGGCGCGCGAUACAGGGUGACAGCCCCGUACACAAAAAUGCACAUACUGUGAGCUCGAUGAGUAGGGCGGGACACGUGGUAUCCUGUCUGAAUAUGGGGGGACCAUCCUCCAAGGCUAAAUACUCCUGACUGACCGAUAGUGAACCAGUACCGUGAGGGAAAGGCGAAAAGAACCCCGGCGAGGGGAGUGAAAAAGAACCUGAAACCGUGUACGUACAAGCAGUGGGAGCACAGAGCAAUCUGUGUGACUGCGUACCUUUUGUAUAAUGGGUCAGCGACUUAUAUUCUGUAGCAAGGUUAACCGAAUAGGGGAGCCGAAGGGAAACCGAGUCUUAACUGGGCGUUAAGUUGCAGGGUAUAGACCCGAAACCCGGUGAUCUAGCCAUGGGCAGGUUGAAGGUUGGGUAACACUAACUGGAGGACCGAACCGACUAAUGUUGAAAAAUUAGCGGAUGACUUGUGGCUGGGGGUGAAAGGCCAAUCAAACCGGGAGAUAGCUGGUUCUCCCCGAAAGCUAUUUAGGUAGCGCCUCGUGAAUUCAUCUCCGGGGGUAGAGCACUGUUUCGGCAAGGGGGUCAUCCCGACUUACCAACCCGAUGCAAACUGCGAAUACCGGAGAAUGUUAUCACGGGAGACACACGGCGGGUGCUAACGUCCGUCGUGAAGAGGGAAACAACCCAGACCGCCAGCUAAGGUCCCAAAGUCAUGGUUAAGUGGGAAACGAUGUGGGAAGGCCCAGACA